GAGAGCCCGGUGCAGGGACAACUUGCACGCCGGGUUCGGUGGGGAGGAUGCGGAAACGUACAUGCCGAAAGGGAUGUAACGCGCCGUGUCCUUACCCAAU
Ktedonobacter racemifer DSM 44963 is the source of this 100-nucleotide non-coding RNA. Lineage: Bacteria; Bacillati; Chloroflexota; Ktedonobacteria; Ktedonobacterales; Ktedonobacteraceae. The record is from Rfam.